UACGGAGGGGCCGAGCGUUAUCCGGAAUCAUUGGGUUUAAAGGGUCCGUAGGCGGGACAUUAAGUCAGGGGUGAAAUGUUGCAGCUCAACUGCAGAAUGGCCUUUGAUACUGGUGUUCUUGAGUUAUGUUGCUGUGGUCUGAACAUGUGGUGUAGCGGGGAAAUGCAUAGAUAUCACAUAGAACGCCGAUUGCGAAGGCAGGUCACAAAGCAUAUACUGACGCUGAGGGACGAAAGCGUGGGGAGCGAACGGG
Molecule: ribosomal RNA, 253 nt
Filed under: uncultured bacterium
Lineage: Bacteria
Description: partial 16S ribosomal RNA
Rfam family: Bacterial small subunit ribosomal RNA
Source: RNAcentral